Molecule: long non-coding RNA, 696 nt
Organism: Carassius gibelio (silver crucian carp)
Lineage: Eukaryota; Metazoa; Chordata; Actinopteri; Cypriniformes; Cyprinidae
Exons: 3
Source: RefSeq, a predicted model, not a curated record
UGCUUGCUAGUAUGUAAAUAAACUCGGUCUCAUUGAUAAUAUUCAAACUUUUUUUUUUUCUUAAUCAAACUGAUCAUAUUAUAGCCUGUAAUGCUACUGUCAAGAUUGUCACAUGCCUCACUCAUACUGCUAUCACCGCUUGCCAGAGGCUGAGAAUGUCCAGCACUAGAGUUAUCUUGCUACGUUUUUAUUGUGAAGAUGUUAACGCACGGAUUUACGAAGUGAAGUGAAACAAUGUUGACUGGGCAUAGUGCUAUAUUUUUUCUGAUCUGUUUUUCUCCCUUCCUUCAGGAUGUCUGUCUCUGUAAAGGAGCUGUGUGAAUUGAUGAAUGUUAACUAUGAUAGGGCUGUUAUUGAGGCGAUUGCGAGGGUCAACAAUGAGGAGGAUGGUUUGUAGGAAAAUAGAAUUGAGUCAGCCAAACAAUUAAGUCUACAUUGUUUCAUUACUGAAAUGUUAACUAGUUUUCCUCUCUGUCAUUCUUAGAUUCACUUGAAAGUGACAGUUCUCAGACAGCUGCCAUUGAGGAUUCUCUGGAAAGUGAUAAAGAUAAUCAUUCCGAAAUAGCUGCCAGUGAGGACUCACUUGAACACAAUCCAGAAAAUGAGCCGGAUUACACACCUGUCAAUGAAGGUAAUUUAUUGUCAUUAUUUUUACAUUUCUGUCAGCUACUAGUGGGCUCAGCCGAAUGCACGCGC